CAGCUUAAGAAAGGACUUUAUUAGCCAAGACAUGGAGCCCCGGUCAGUUCCUGUGACCCACGUGACAGACACUUCUGAAGAAAUCCAGGCCCCAUGGCUGCCAGGGCCCUCCUUCUGUGCUGGACUUGCAGUCACGUGAGCUCGCCAACGUCCUCAUUGUGUAAUCCACUUUGAAGAAGGACUUUCUGUUCCUUGUCACUGAAAGCAAGCUGAGCCACACGCUUGUUUUAGAAACAUGUUUAAAUGCAGAGAUGCGUAAAGAACAACAUGAGAAUCGCCUAUAAUCCCACCGUCCAAUAAUCGCCCCAACAUGUGUUUUGUUGAUUUUGCAUUCUUAAACCGCCGACGCGGUGGUGCUAAUUGUGAUGGAUAAUUACAUAAGUAAUGCACUUGCUUCUUGUAAAAAAAAUUCAAAUGGCACAACUGUUGAAUGCAGACAGUAAAUGGCUCCUGUGACCCCAUCUCCCGCAGUGGUGGCCUCCGUGCAGUCGGUCACCUAUUCUGAGAAUUUCCCCCACUCUGCCAGUGUUUCUAAUAUAUGGGCCACUCCCGGCUGAUAGAGAACGGCCACAUAACCUUCUGAGCCCGUAAGCAGGUAAAGUGCAGUGCGGCUCAGACCAGCGGGAUGUCUGGCCUCUGAGAAUGGAACACCGGGAGGCACGGGGAAGGGGGUCCCCACUCCCACUGCAGACAGGGCUGGCCAAGCGCCGAGCACGAAGCGUGGGGGUCCAAUUCCUGAUUCACUGUUGAAGGCUGUGUGGCCUGGAGCAGACCCCCUUAACCACUCUGAGCCUAUUUCCUCAUCCGUAAAAUGGGAAUAAUAAUGGCUAACAGAGUUGUGGAAAGGCUUAUCGAUAAUGCACAUAGAACACCCUCAAUAAACGGUAGUCGUUAUUAAAAUUA
Pteropus alecto (black flying fox) is the source of this 903-nucleotide long non-coding RNA. RefSeq lists it as uncharacterized. The record is from RefSeq and is a predicted model, not a curated record. Lineage: Eukaryota; Metazoa; Chordata; Mammalia; Chiroptera; Pteropodidae. The transcript is spliced from 2 exons.